RNAcentral lists this long non-coding RNA (2814 nucleotides) under Homo sapiens (human). RNAcentral's name for it is "HSALNT0177550". The record is from RNAcentral. Lineage: Eukaryota; Metazoa; Chordata; Mammalia; Primates; Hominidae.
GGAAAGACUCCUGCUGCUUCCUACUAGACGUGAGGCUUGCACUGCUCCCGCCAUGGAGCUCAGAUCAUGCCCUGGAGAAGCAGGUGACAUCGCGGAAUUUUCCUGUUCCAGAUGCCAGAAGUCUGAAAUGAAGGUGUAAAGCAGGGUGGUUCCUUCUGGAGGCUCUGAGAGAAUCACCCCAGGCCUCUCUCCAGCUUCUGGUGCUGGUAUUCUCAGGCUUGUAGGCGCAUCACCCAUGUCUGCCUCCAUCUUCACAUGGCCUUCUCCUCUGUGUCUGCCUGAAGUCUCCCUUCAUUUCUCUUGUAAGGACAUCAGUCAUUGGAUUUAGAGCCCACCCUAAACCCAGAAUGAUCUCAUCUCAAGAUUACAUCUGCACAGACGCUAUUUCCAGAUAAGGUCACAGUCAAAGUGCUGGCUUGUGUUUGACACCAUGCCUGACACAUUGGGGGUGCUCAGUAGACCUGUGUGAGAUGGACAGCCUCCCGUACAGAUGGACGGACAGAUGUACAGCCCCGUGGAGAUGCCCUGUGUAAGCCACUGAAGCCUCUGGCCAACAGCAGUGGGAACCUGAGACGUGUCCACAAGCAUGCAUGGGAGCUUGGAAGUGGAUCCUUCAGCCCCAGCCAAGCCUUCAGACGAUGCAGCCUCAGGGACAGUAUGACUGCAGCCUCAUGAGACCCUGAGCCAGAAACACCCCUCCAAGCCACUCCCAGAUGCCUGGCCCUCAGAACCUGGGAGGUAAUAAAUAUUUAUGGCUGUUUGAAGCUGCUGUAUCGGGGGACAAUUUGUUACACAGUAAUAGCUAACUGGUGCAGUCCUGGGACUCUUAGCAGUUUGGAGUAUCAGUUAUUUUGCCAAGGCGGGGAAGUUAACAGUGGUCAUUGCAGCAGCUGCACUUGGGGACCACAAUAAAGAAGCUUUCUCAGACUGGUUUGAACAAAGUGGUGAAUUCUCUGCAAGGACACAGAGGUGUCUCUCAAAACCCAAGGAUGGGACAGCAGGCCUCAAGAAGAACUGGAACCUCUGUCCCUUCUGUGCUUCUUUUUACUCCUGUGUUCUCUGCUUCUUGGAGCACUUGGCAGUUGGGAAGUGGCCAUUUCAAUUCUCGUGGUCAAGAAACCAGCUCAGAAAUAACCCAACCAACACAGGUGGGGUCAGGUGUCCAUCCUGGCUCCAUUUGUCAUGGCGGGAGAUGGUGAUGAAGAGAAACAUCCAGGACCAUUGGUAGGGCACCCGAAUGAGAUUCCAGGAGAGGCCAGUUCUAAGAGAAGGGUACUAGAAAGAUACCCAUUGAAGUCAAUACCACAUGUGGCACAUCCUCCUUUCAGGUGGCAAGUGUGUAGCCAAAGCAAGGUUCAGGGUCCAUAUUUGAAAGUCAGAAACUGAAUAAACUGUUUUCUCCCACCCCGAGCACUGUGGGGAACUCUGCUCACAAAUCCACCAUCCACCAUCACCAGCCGUGCUCAUCUGACCAUUCAUGCAGGCUCACACUUGACCUGAUGUGGGUUCUGUCUCCUUUGCUUGAGAAUUGAAAGGCCUGGGAGAUGCAAAAGCUUUAGGCUCCAGCCAUCUCCCCAUGUCAGGUAGGCCUUUUGCCUAGUGUAUCCAGUUGGUAAUGCUGCAGAGAUGCAUGAAGCUGGAGUCAGAGGCCACCUGUAGUGCUGCCCUGACUUCAGACCUGAGCCCAGCCCAGCAGCAGAGAGGGGGCUGGGAGCCAGAGGAGGCCUCACAGUAACAGCACAGACAGGUGGGGGCCCACAACAGGCCACAUGUGUUCAAACUCGAGUGUGGGCAGAGGAGCAUGGGAAGCUCAGAGCCCUGAGCUCACCCCACACCCAACACGAGUGGGGUCACCCAAAAUCAGCCUGUCAGCACUGUCCCAGCAGCCAGUCGCAUGCUACAUUAACAAAUUUUGCACAGGCCAGCAAGCAGGAUCGCUCACCAGCCACCCUCCUGAACUGGCCUAUGGGGCCCCAGGAUGAUGCCAUAGCCACAAGUCUGGAGUUCCUCAAAGUACCUGGUCAGCACAACUCAGUUAAACAAUGGGCAAAAGACCUGAACAGACACUUCGCCAGAGAAGAUGUACAGAUGCAAGUAAGCAUUUGAAAAGGUGCCCCACAUCGUAUGUCGUUAGGGAAUGGUCCAAUCCAGAACACUGAUGGCACCAAAGGCUGCUGAGCAUGUGGAGCAGCAGAACUCUCAUUCACUGCUGGUGAGAAAAAUGGCGCAGCCCCAAUAGGGAACCCUAAUGCAGACUCUGGACUUCACUGGAAAUGACGUGUCAGUGUAGCUGCGUCAGUUGUAACAAAUGCACCAGUCUGGUGGGCGUGUUGAUAACCGGGGCUGCGCACGUGGGGAGAGAGGACCUGUGGGAAUGCUCUACUUUCCACUCAUUUUUGCUGUGAACUUAAAACUGCUCUUACAAAAUAACAUUGUUUGUUGUUGUUGUUGUUGUUGUUGUUGUUGUUGUUUUUAAGUAUCUAGUCAGCUCCACACAUGACCCGGGCAGAGUGGGAAGUUGUAGAGUGCCCCAAGGAGAGAAAUGGAACCAGGUCUCAUGUGGGGCCAAGUGUGGGCUCCCUGUCCUCUCAGCUGGUCCCAGGAACUGAAGGGAAAUUUAGACAACUUGGAGAAAGACACUCUAGGGCUCGGGGCAAAGGGUGGUGUUGAUGAGAACCAUAUUUUUUUAUUGCUGGUGUAAGCACUUGUAUUUUUCUGAUUUUCCACUGGUUCGAUAAUAAGGGUAAAAGACAAUAAAGCAUACUUUUUAAGCUUUUGUUUAGAAGUUUUUUUUCCAAUAAAACUUCCCCAAAA